UACGUAGGGUGCAAGCGUUGUCCGGAUUUAUUGGGCGUAAAGAGCGUGUAGGCGGUCAGGUAGGUCCGUUGUGAAAACUCGAGGCUCAACCUCGAGACGCCGAUGGAAACCAUCUGACUAGAGUCCGGAAGAGGAGAGUGGAAUUCCUGGUGUAGCGGUGAAAUGCGCAGAUAUCAGGAAGAACACCCGUGGCUAAGGCGGCUCUCUAGUACGGUACUGACGCUGAGACGCGAAAGCGUGGGGAGCGAACAGG
This 253-nucleotide ribosomal RNA is filed under the name uncultured bacterium. Its description in RNAcentral is "partial 16S ribosomal RNA". It matches the Rfam family "Bacterial small subunit ribosomal RNA", at positions 524 to 776 of the family's 1533-position model. The record is from RNAcentral.